This is an unclassified non-coding RNA of Papio anubis (olive baboon), 153 nucleotides long. It matches the Rfam family "Metazoan signal recognition particle RNA". Rfam says of the family: The signal recognition particle (SRP) is a universally conserved ribonucleoprotein. It is involved in the co-translational targeting of proteins to membranes. The eukaryotic SRP consists of a 300-nucleotide 7S RNA and six proteins: SRPs 72, 68, 54, 19, 14, and 9. NCBI's taxonomy places the organism in Eukaryota, Metazoa, Chordata, Mammalia, Primates, Cercopithecidae. The record is from Ensembl.
GCUGGGCAUGAUGGUGCAUGCCUGUAGUCCCAGCUACUUGGGAGGCUGAGGUAGGAGGAUCACUUGAGCCCAGGAGUUCGAGGCUGCAGCAGUGAGCCAUGAUUGUGCCACUGCACUCCACGGCCUGGGUCAUAGAGUGAGACCCUGCCUCAA